AAGAAAGGCACAGGUGCAGAGAAAGAAGGAAAGACAGAUUUCCAUCCUCUGGUUCCCUCCCCAAACGGGCGCAACAGCUGGGGCUGGGCCAGACCAGCGCCAAGGAGCUUCUUCCUGGUCUCCUUGUGCCAGCAGGGAACCAAGCACUUGGGGCAGCUUCCAUUGGCUUUCCCCGAGCGUUAGCAGAGAGCUGGACUGGAAGCAGAGAAACUGGGACUUGAACUGGGGCUCAUAUGGGAUACCUCUUUACCCCCUAGCCACCAUACUGGCCCUGCAGGCAAUUCUUAAAAUGGCCAACAAGCAUGUUCAAAGUGACAAAGAAUUUGACUUUGCAACUUGUGUUUCCUUUGUUUGGAAAGGCAAUACUGUCUGUGUUGAGAUUCAGCCCAGGUGAUCUCUUCCCUUGUGAAAACUUCAUUUUCCUCCCUAGCACAGUCAGCCUUGUUCAGUGCGUACUCUCCGUGUCUCUGCUGGGACUACUCCAGGAAGUCUUCUUGGAUUCUCUGAGGUUCUACCAUCCACCACCCUCCUCAGCUGUCAGUCCAAUGGGGUUAUCUGAUCUCAUAUAGUGAACUUCCAAAACUGCUGUUUUACUAGGACCACAAAAUGUUUCCACGCUCCAUGAUCUCAGUUUUGUGACCCAGAUAACACCCAAGUGAAGCAGCUUCGAAGAACUGAAAUGGCUGGAAGAGAGGAACAGAGAGAGAGGUGACACUGUCCAACUUCAAACCCAGCUCAGUGACUUCACCCAUAGCUUCUAGGGGGUGACACAUUUUUCUAGAAGGUUGGGAACCGAGCGUUUGGAGGAUUUCAAAGGUCAGUUCACGUGUGCGUUUUGGUAGAGGGUGGGCAACAUGUUUGAAAAAUUCUACAUACACUUGUUUGGGCCUGGCUGUCU
Long non-coding RNA from Oryctolagus cuniculus (rabbit), 898 nucleotides. RefSeq lists it as uncharacterized. The record is from RefSeq and is a predicted model, not a curated record. NCBI's taxonomy places the organism in Eukaryota, Metazoa, Chordata, Mammalia, Lagomorpha, Leporidae.